GUGGUACCCGCUUCGGCAGCACAUUUACUAAAAUUGGAAUGAUACAGAGAAGAUUAGCAUGGCAGGUGAUGACAUGCAAUUCAUGAAGUGUUCCAUAUUUUU
Manis javanica (Malayan pangolin) is the source of this 102-nucleotide small nuclear RNA. The record is from RefSeq and is a predicted model, not a curated record. NCBI's taxonomy places the organism in Eukaryota, Metazoa, Chordata, Mammalia, Pholidota, Manidae.